RNAcentral lists this ribosomal RNA (475 nucleotides) under uncultured bacterium. RNAcentral describes it as "bacterial SSU rRNA". It matches the Rfam family "Bacterial small subunit ribosomal RNA", at positions 8 to 475 of the family's 1533-position model. The record is from RNAcentral.
AGAGUUUGAUCAUGGCUCAGAUUGAACGCUGGCGGCAUGCUUAAUACAUGCAAGUCGAACGGUAACAGAUUCUUCGGAAUGCUGACGAGUGGCGGACGGGUGAGUAAUACAUAGGAAUCUGCCCAUGUAGUGGGGGACAACUUGGGGAAACUCAAGCUAAUACCGCAUAAUUCCUACGGGAUAAAGAGGGCCACUGCUUGCAAGCUCUUGCUACUGGACGAGCCUAUGUCGGAUUAGUUAGUUGGUAAGGUAAUGGCUUACCAAGACAGCGAUCCGUAGCUGGUUUGAGAGGAUGAUCAGCCACACUGGGACUGAGACACGGCCCAGACUCCUACGGGAGGCAGCAGUAGGGAGUAUUGGACAAUGGGCGCAAGCCUGAUCCAGCAAUGCCGCGUGUGUGAAGAAGGCCUGCGGGUUGUAAAGCACUUUCAAUUGGGAAGAAAGAUUAUGAGUUAAUACCUUAUAAUAUUGACGU